CUGAUAACCCAGAAACUGAAGUCCUUUAUUCAUUCACAGAGCAGGUACAACAGUGGUGCAAGCUUCCCCACACUGUCCCUUCUAUAUGACUCUAUUUUGACCCCAUCUAGGAAUGAGAGGGUAGCUCAGUUUCCAUAAUCCAUUCAAAUACUUGGCUUCU
Molecule: small RNA, 160 nt
Filed under: Gopherus agassizii (Agassiz's desert tortoise)
Lineage: Eukaryota; Metazoa; Chordata; Testudines; Testudinidae
Description: TUC338 (ENSGAGG00000000060.1)
Source: RNAcentral